This 465-nucleotide ribosomal RNA is filed under the name uncultured bacterium. RNAcentral describes it as "partial 16S ribosomal RNA". It matches the Rfam family "Bacterial small subunit ribosomal RNA", at positions 28 to 507 of the family's 1533-position model. The record is from RNAcentral.
GACGGACGCUGGCGGCGUGCUUAACACGUGCAAGUCGAACGGAAAGGCCCCAGCUUGCUGGGGUACUCGAGUGGCGAACGGGUGAGUAACACGUGGGUGAUCUGCCCUGCACUCUGGGAUAAGCCUGGGAAACUGGGUCUAAUACCGGAUAGGACCGUGCUUUAGUGUGUGCGGUGGAAAGUUUUUCGGUGCAGGAUGAGCCCGCGGCCUAUCAGCUUGUUGGUGGGGUAAUGGCCUACCAAGGCGGCGACGGGUAGCCGGCCUGAGAGGGUGUACGGCCACAUUGGGACUGAGACACGGCCCAGACUCCUACGGGAGGCAGCAGUGGGGAAUAUUGCACAAUGGGCGCAAGCCUGAUGCAGCGACGCCGCGUGGGGGAUGACGGCCUUCGGGUUGUAAACCCCUUUCGGCAGGGACGAAGCUUUUGUGACGGUACCUGCAGAAGAAGCACCGGCUAACUACGUG